GAUGAACGCUGACAGAAUGCUUAACACAUGCAAGUCGAUGGGGAAGUGGUGCUUGUUCCAUGGCAACCAUGGCGGACGGGUGAGUAACGCGUAAGGGACUUACCUGCAUGACUGGGAUAACAGGGGGAAACUCCUGACAAGACCGGAUAAUGUCAUGGAGCUGCAUGGCUUUAUGAUGAAAGGAGACGCCUGUGGAGAGCCUUGCGUCCUAUUAGCUAGUUGGUGAGGUAAUGGCUCACCAAGGCGAAGAUAGGUAGCCGGCCUGAGAGGGUGGACGGCCACGAGGGGACUGAGAUACGGCAGUUACUCCUACGCGAGGCAGCAGUGGAGAAUAUUGGACAAUGGGGGCAACCCUGAUCCAGCAAUUCUGUGUGCACGAAGAAGGUUUUCGGAGUGUAAAGAGCUUUCAGCAGGGAAGAAGUAAGUGACGGUACCUGCAGAAGAAGCGACGGCUAAAUACGUG
This 463-nucleotide ribosomal RNA is filed under the name uncultured bacterium. RNAcentral describes it as "partial 16S ribosomal RNA". It matches the Rfam family "Bacterial small subunit ribosomal RNA", at positions 28 to 507 of the family's 1533-position model. The record is from RNAcentral.